RNAcentral lists this transfer RNA (61 nucleotides) under Tenebrionoidea sp. 15 KM-2017. Its description in RNAcentral is "tRNA-Ser". The record is from RNAcentral. Lineage: Eukaryota; Metazoa; Arthropoda; Insecta; Coleoptera.
GAAACUUGAAAAUUAAGCUUCUAACUUAAUAAUAAAGCGACUUAUAUGCGUUUAUGUUUCU